Molecule: long non-coding RNA, 207 nt
Filed under: Panax ginseng (ginseng)
Lineage: Eukaryota; Viridiplantae; Streptophyta; Magnoliopsida; Apiales; Araliaceae
Description: long non-coding RNA (PGIN_LNC016820)
Source: RNAcentral
AUAACUUCAACUAUUUUCUUGUGAACAACCUCUGUAUCCAUUCAAGUAAAAAAUUCAUAAAAAAUUUAAAAAAACCAAUAAAAGAAUUUUUUAAAAAUAACCUUUUGAUAAGAAAUUGAGUCAUAAAUAAAUCAUUUUUUUUAUAAAAAAAAUCCUUACUUUCAUAGCCAACGUGUUCAAUAGCAUCCAUGAACUUUUUAUGCAUAC